GACGAACGCUGGCGGCGUGCCUAAUACAUGCAAGUUGAGCGCUGAAGGUUGGUACUUGUACCGACUGGAUGAGCAGCGAACGGGUGAGUAACGCGUGGGGAAUCUGCCUUUGAGCGGGGGACAACAUUUGGAAACGAAUGCUAAUACCGCAUAAAAACUUUAAACACAAGUUUUAAGUUUGAAAGAUGCAAUUGCAUCACUCAAAGAUGAUCCCGCGUUGUAUUAGCUAGUUGGUGAGGUAAAGGCUCACCAAGGCGAUGAUACAUAGCCGACCUGAGAGGGUGAUCGGCCACAUUGGGACUGGGACACGGCCCAAACUCCUACGGGAGGCAGCAGUAGGGAAUCUUCGGCAAUGGACGAAAGUCUGACCGAGCAACGCCGCGUGAGUGAAGAAGGUUUUCGGAUCGUAAAACUCUGUUGGUAGAGAAGAACGUUGGUGAGAGUGGAAAGCUCAUCAAGUGACGGUAACUACCCAGAAAGGGACGGCUAACUACGUG
This 497-nucleotide ribosomal RNA is filed under the name uncultured bacterium. Its description in RNAcentral is "partial 16S ribosomal RNA". It matches the Rfam family "Bacterial small subunit ribosomal RNA", at positions 28 to 507 of the family's 1533-position model. The record is from RNAcentral.